RNAcentral lists this ribosomal RNA (92 nucleotides) under Plasmodium vivax (malaria parasite P. vivax). RNAcentral's name for it is "partial small subunit ribosomal RNA". The record is from RNAcentral. Lineage: Eukaryota; Apicomplexa; Aconoidasida; Haemosporida; Plasmodiidae.
AAUCAUACGACUUUGUGCGCAUUUUGCUAUUAUGUGUUCUUUUAAUUAAAAUGAUUCUUUUUAAGGACUUUCUUUGCUUCGGCUUGGAAGUA